UACAGAGGGGGCAAGCGUUGUUCGGAAUUACUGGGCGUAAAGGGCGCGUAGGUGGCCUUCUAAGUUGAACGUGAAAUCCCUGGGCUCAACCCAGGAACUGCGUCCAAGACUGGGAGGCUUGAAUCCGGGAGAGGGAUGCGGAAUUCCAGGUGUAGCGGUGAAAUGCGUAGAUAUCUGGAGGAACACCGGUGGCGAAGGCGGCUCACUGGGUCUUUCCUGACGCUGAGGAACGAAAGCUAGGGGAGCGAACGGG
RNAcentral lists this ribosomal RNA (253 nucleotides) under uncultured bacterium. RNAcentral's name for it is "partial 16S ribosomal RNA". It matches the Rfam family "Bacterial small subunit ribosomal RNA", at positions 524 to 776 of the family's 1533-position model. The record is from RNAcentral.